GACGAACGCUGGCGGCGUGCUUAACACAUGCAAGUCGAACGGAAAGGCCCUGCUUUUGUGGGGUGCUCGAGUGGCGAACGGGUGAGUAACACGUGAGUAACCUGCCCUUGACUUUGGGAUAACUUCAGGAAACUGGGGCUAAUACCGGAUAGGAGCUCCUGCUGCAUUGUGGGGGUUGGAAAGUUUCGGCGGUUGGGGAUGGACUCGCGGCUUAUCAGCUUGUUGGUGGGGUAGUGGCUUACCAAGGCUUUGACGGGUAGCCGGCCUGUGAGGGUGACCGGCCACAUUGGGACUGAGAUACGGCCCAGACUCCUACGGGAGGCAGAAGUGGGGAAUAUUGCAUAAUGGGCGGAAGCCUGAUGCAGCAACGCCGCGUGCGGGAUGACGUCCUUCGGGUUGUAAACCGCUUUCGCCUGUGACGAAGCGUGAGUGACGGUAAUGGGUAAAGAAGCACCGGCUAACUACGUG
RNAcentral lists this ribosomal RNA (468 nucleotides) under uncultured bacterium. RNAcentral describes it as "partial 16S ribosomal RNA". It matches the Rfam family "Bacterial small subunit ribosomal RNA", at positions 28 to 507 of the family's 1533-position model. The record is from RNAcentral.